Long non-coding RNA from Brassica napus (rape), 2188 nucleotides. RefSeq lists it as uncharacterized. The transcript is spliced from 3 exons. The record is from RefSeq and is a predicted model, not a curated record. NCBI's taxonomy places the organism in Eukaryota, Viridiplantae, Streptophyta, Magnoliopsida, Brassicales, Brassicaceae.
UUACAAUAUUAAAAGCAAAAUAAGCUCAAAGGAGAGCUAUGACACGUAAGCUUAAAAAAUCAUCCAAUUAGGGAUAAGCUAUUUUACACAUUGUUUAUUCAAUUCUGAGUUUCUUCUAUGGCUUUAAACUACUUAGCUCUGGCCCAAAAAAGAGCCCACUUCAAUAGCCCUAACUUCUGAAACGAUGAUAGCUUCUAUCGCCUUCCCCUCAGACACUUCGUCUUCUCCGCUUCGAGUUCUUGCGACCUCCGUUACCGCAAUCUCACUUCUUAUCAAUCAAUAGUUUUGUUAACUUCACUCUUUAUGAUUUCGUUUCGCAUCCCUCCCUUUCUCAUUCUUUAUAUACUACUGUUUUUUCUUUCUUUUGCUACAAACCAAAACACUCAAAUCUCCUCAAAUCGAUCUCAAGCUCUAGCAUGGCCAAUGAUCAGGAAGUUAUGUUCUUCAGAGCUAUAUCACUAGGUCCCCACGAAACCCAGAUAUGCUACCGUCUAAUCCAUUUCUGGGAGCUCCGAAACCCACUGAAAAAAAAACAUUUAUUGGUCUGGAAAUUCUCCUCAUCGACGAACAGGUUCGUGAAUCCUCCAAAAUUUAGUUUCCUAUAUUUUCCACUGAUUUUAUAUAUCGUUAAACAUGGUCGUGUUUCCACUGAUUUAAUAUAUUGUUAAACAUGGUUGUCUUAUAUAUUUUCCUUCUGUGUUAUGUUAAUUUUUACAUCUUCUUCAAGGAACUGUUAUUCAAGGAUUCAUUCCAUCAGGAUGUGUUAAAAAAUAUUUGCCUGACAUGAAACAAGGAUCAGUUUACAGUCUCUUGACCUUCUACGGAUCCAAAAACAAAACGGUGCACCGGGUUGCUUAUUAUAGCGUAACCGUUUCUUUCUCAUAGAACUCUAUCAUGUCGGUUCUUAAUGACAGUCCCGUCCCCUUUGACGAAGACCGUUUACGCUUCCAUUCAUAUGAGGAUUUUGAAGCUAAAUGUGAUCUCAAAUGUGACCUCUACGAUGUUGUUGGACACAUGAAGCUGGUCAAUGGACAUGAGAGCGUCCCAUCCUUAACGAAGCGGAGAUAGCAACUAUGCGGCAUCUUUUGGUUCAUGUGCAAUCGCAUGACGGACCUGUUUUGAUCAAUUGAGCAGAUAAUGUUUCCAAAUUUUCACGAAUUCUGGUGAGAGAGUAUUGUUCUGGAUAUAUUGAUAUGCAAUUGAUUUGGUAUGAUCCUUGAAAAACCUUGCCAUUCUAUGUCUUAAAUCUAAGUUGUUAUAUAGAACUGAGUUAUAUCUUAUACCUUUUUAAUGUAGGGAUUUGGGUUGUCAUGUAUAGCUAGACCACGCCAAUGUGAUGGUCAAACAUACGAGUUUGUGUUCACACAUGACCUAGCUAUCGUACGUUUGAUGCGAGUACUGAACUUUUUUAAGAUGGAAAGGGCAUUGGCACCGUUCACACCAACUCAUUGAGACAAAGAUGAGUGGCAUCCACUGCAAGGCGCUUGGCGUUUUAUUCAAGCACGCACUCUUUGGAUCAUCUUCUUGACAUAAUGACAUUGGAGUUGAACACAAUCUUUCUCAAGUUUAACAUGCUUCCCUCCUUGAAAACAAGUGAGUCUCUAUAGGCUGAUUUUUGGUGGCUCAUAGUGGAAGCAACAACACGGAGUACGAUUCAUAUCUCCAAGACCAGUAUAGAUAUUAGUCAGUGGUGUUGGUUGAGAUAUGGUUUUACUCAGAAUGCAGUGAGUGUGAUGGAACUUGGGAAAGAAGCACGUGGCUCAAUUUAUCAAACACUGUGACAUUGUGGUCAUCUGCUUCUCCUCAGUUCCGACAGACCUCAACAACCUCAGAGGAUGGUGAAGGUUUUGUGUUUCUGCUGAAGCUCGAACUCAGUUACAAGCGAUGCUUGAAAGGGGCUGAAACCAGUCUUUUUGGCAGUAUAUAUACAGAGGGGUAUCGACAUCUGGAGAGUGGUGAACCGAGGCGGGAGAUUGGGAAUAUGAUGAAGUCUGGAGAAUGUUGUUCAACUGAUGCACUGAGAUUUGAGAGGCUUGGUGGAUGUAAGAUAAAGCUUGGUGAAUGUAAAACAAGAUUCUAAUGAUUUUAAUACACUUAUGCAUUAUUUUUACAACAAUCAUAUAUCGUUUAUUGUAUGUGCUUUCUAGGAUCAUAUAUGUGUUGGCUAAUUAAUACAGUUUAUGGCUUA